This 72-nucleotide transfer RNA is filed under the name Bos taurus (domestic cattle). It matches the Rfam family "tRNA". Rfam says of the family: Transfer RNA (tRNA) molecules are approximately 80 nucleotides in length. Their secondary structure includes four short double-helical elements and three loops (D, anti-codon, and T loops). RNAcentral also lists the same sequence under 4 other names. The record is from Rfam by way of RNAcentral. Lineage: Eukaryota; Metazoa; Chordata; Mammalia; Artiodactyla; Bovidae.
UCCCUGGUAGCUCAGAUGGUAAAGAAUCUGCCUGCAAUACAGAAGACCCAGUUUUGAUCCCUGGUCAGGAAG